GCGGACGGGUGAGUAACACGUGGGUAACCUGCCUGUAAGAUCGGAAUAACUCCGGGAAACCGGAGCUAAUGCCGGGUAAUACUUUCUUUCGCAUGAAGGAAAGUUGAAAGAUGGCUUCUUGCUAUCACUUACAGAUGGACCCGCGGCGCAUUAGCUAGUUGGUGAGGUAACGGCUCACCAAGGCGACGAUGCGUAGCCGACCUGAGAGGGUGAUCGGCCACACUGGGACUGAGACACGGCCCAGACUCCUACGGGAGGCAGCAGUAGGGAAUCUUCCGCAAUGGACGAAAGUCUGACGGAGCAACGCCGCGUGAACGAUGAAGGUCUUCGGAUCGUAAAGUUCUGUUGUUAGGGAAGAACAAGUACCGUUCGAAUAGGGCGGUACCUUGACGGUACCUAACGAGGAAGCCCCGGCUAACUACGUGCCAGCAGCCGCGGUAAUACGUAGGGGGCAAGCGUUGUCCGGAAUUAUUGGGCGUAAAGCGCUCGCAGGCGGUUCCUUAAGUCUGAUGUGAAAGCCCACGGCUCAACCGUGGAGGGUCAUUGGAAACUGGGGAACU
This 560-nucleotide ribosomal RNA is filed under the name Halobacillus sp. NH89-16. RNAcentral describes it as "bacterial SSU rRNA". It matches the Rfam family "Bacterial small subunit ribosomal RNA", at positions 98 to 642 of the family's 1533-position model. Lineage: Bacteria; Bacillati; Bacillota; Bacilli; Caryophanales; Bacillaceae. The record is from RNAcentral.